GCCACUGUGGUGUAGUGGUUUCAGCACUGGACUAUGGCUCUGGAGGCCAGGGUUUGAAUCCCUACUUGAUCA
Phrynosoma platyrhinos (Desert horned lizard) is the source of this 72-nucleotide non-coding RNA. The record is from the annotation of a GenBank genome assembly. Lineage: Eukaryota; Metazoa; Chordata; Lepidosauria; Squamata; Phrynosomatidae.